AUCCNCCGUGACUCGAACCUUCAGCUGCUGG
RNAcentral lists this non-coding RNA (31 nucleotides) under Homo sapiens (human). Lineage: Eukaryota; Metazoa; Chordata; Mammalia; Primates; Hominidae. The record is from RNAcentral.